CCAGCAGCCGCGGUAAUUCCAGCUCCAAUAGCGUAUAUUAAAGUUGUUGCAGUUAAAAAGCUCGUAGUUGAACUUCUGUACGUGCUCUGUUCUGGCUCCGGUCAAGCAGUUGCGCGUGCAUCCGCUUGCAAACUAGUCUCGUCCUUAACUGGUCGUUCUAGGGAGCAAGCCCUUUACUUUGAAAAAAUUAGAGUGUUUCAGGCAGGCAAUGGCUCGAAUACAUUAGCAUGGAAUAAUGGAAUAGGACUUUUGUCCAUUUGGUUGGUUAUUGGACAUAAGUAAUGAUUAACAGGGACAGUUGGGGGCAUUAGUAUUUAAUUGUCAGAGGUGAAAUUCUUGGAUUU
Molecule: ribosomal RNA, 344 nt
Filed under: uncultured eukaryote
Lineage: Eukaryota
Description: SSU rRNA
Rfam family: Eukaryotic small subunit ribosomal RNA
Source: RNAcentral